AAUCAAAAUGCUUAACAAAAAAGCUCAAUACUCUCAAAUAACUAAUUUCUAUACAUCCAUGGCUGGACUUCAGUACAAAUUCUUCCCCACUGAUUUCUUCUUUCCUCCUCAAAAGUUCGCCAGUCGAGACAUCGCUACUCAACAGCAAAUUCCACUGGUGAAAUCCCGAAAUACCGACGAAUCGGAUGAGCCAAAACAGCCCAAAAUCACCACCAUCAACACCAAAGCAAUUCCUUCCUCCGCCACAAGCUUGGUUCCGAUUAAGAAAUCAAAUUAAAUCAAGGUACAGUUUGAUGAACAAGUUUUUUUUUAUAAAGACUGUUAUACAGAAUAUAAAUCUUAUUAUUGAUAAAUUUAGUAUCAAUUUGUUAGAUCGAGUCGUUCAGAGUGGGAUGAGCAUUUGAGUGGCCUCAUUAAUUUUUUAAAGGCUUCUCAAAUAAUAACAUCAAAGAUUGUUGUGUAAUGUAUCAAAUUACUUUAUGUGAUGUUGUUUACAGCAGUUAUGGAUUAUUGUUUAUGAUUUGGUUGGAUUAUUAUUUUCCAAGAAAUUACGAGAGGCAAGUAACCAAAAUUAGGUCACCUAAUUGAAUAAAAUAAUACUAUAAUGUAAUUAGAUUCAAAGUUUUGUUUGCUUGAUUUUUUCUAUAUUUUCAUACAUGUUUUUCAACUAGAUAAUGUUUUCAUAAUAAACAUUAUAUUUUGUUACUUUUUUUUCGUAAUAAAUUGUUUUAAGAGUUCAUGAGAGCAAAAACGUUGUCAGUUAAACCUUUAAGCCCGCAAUUUGCAUAGCCAUGUUUCAUAUUUUAAACAAAAUAAUAAAUUCAAAUGGACAAGUACCAAAUAAAAUAUCAUGGAUCAUAUAAGGAUCGUGCCAAUUAAGACCCUUACAUGGAUCGAGCCACCUACCUACCCAAUCAAUACGACUGGUUUGACAUCCUUAAUUGAAAGUAUCGACCCAUUCCAUGUUUUCAAUUUGCAAUUUUAUGAAUAAAAAAUGAUGCCCUAAAUAAAUUGCAUCUUGCUAGCCUACAAAAGUUGGCUACAAGUUUUGUAACAUAUUAAAAGCCGGUACCCUUCAAGGACGAAAAAUUUAAUAUUCAAAGACUUAUAAGUUUUGUUAGUUGCACACGCUAAUCCCAUCAUAUGUUGACUGUAAAAAUUUAAGGGAUUACUUGUUCAACAAAAAUAUAAGUAAUAAACCG
Molecule: long non-coding RNA, 1202 nt
Filed under: Olea europaea subsp. europaea
Lineage: Eukaryota; Viridiplantae; Streptophyta; Magnoliopsida; Lamiales; Oleaceae
Source: RNAcentral